UGAAGAUGCAGUGAAACCUAAAUAAACUAAUUUCCAGAAAGAUGACAAGCCCUUCACAAGAGAGAAGAGUUCCACAGCUGUUUGCAUUUCAGGCCAAGGAGCAGAAGAGGAGGUACCUACCAUAAAAGCAGAGUCACCAGAAGUAUGCUGACCCACACCUCUGCAGUUUCUCAAGACAGCAGUCAUUCCUCACUUGUUCUUAACUGGAGAACUUAAGUUUUGGAAGUUUAUACUGACGUAUCUUCAAGCUCAUUGAUUCUUUCUUCACCAGUGUCCAGUCUAUUGAUGAAUCCAUCAAAGGCAUGUUUUAAUUUAUGUUACAGUCUUUUUGAUUACUAGCAUUUCCUUUGAUUCUUUCUUAGUUUUCUAUAUUUUUCCAUUGGAGCCCUUAACAUAUUAAUCGCAGCUAUUUUAAAUUCCUAGUUUGAUAAUUGCAACAUCUCUGCCAUAUUUGAAUCUGAUUAUAAUAUUUGUUUUGUCUUUUCAGCCUGUGUUUUUCUUGUCUUUUAUUAUGGCUUAUAUUGAAAGCCAUACACAAUAUAUUGAAAAAUAGGUCUAGAGUUAAAUAGGCUUUUAGUGUAAGGUUUUAUGUGAUUCUGACUAGGAGUCCAGCUGUGUUUAAUGUUUGUUGUGGCUAUAGUUGCCAGAGGCUCAAAUGCUAGUGUUCUUGAUUUUGUCUCAUUUGUUGCCUUUGGGUUUUCCUAUUAAUCCCUCCUUAAGUAAACAUUGAUCCUUGCAAUUCUUUCAGCUAUAAUCCACUGUUAUCACAUUAAGCCCUGUUCAUGUGGGGGGAAGCUGUGUGAGUGGGAAGUAUUCUGUAUUUCUGUGAUUAAGUCUCAGUCUUUAGUGGACCUAUGUCCCUGGGCUGCAAUCAUCAGAAUUGUUUCUUAGCUUCUGUUAUCCUUGCCUGCCCCCAGGUGAGACAAGAAGUCUGGAAGGAGUUAGAGAUGGGUAACUUCCUUUCCCCCAUAAUAAAUAAGGCUAUUGUAAAGCUACUUCUCUUAGAAUAUUGGUUUUCCUUAUGGUGAAUUCUUUGGGAAUAUCUCAGAAAGGUUAGUUUUCUCCUCCCUCUGACAGAAACACAAGGAAUUUUUUUCUUAUUUCUUCACUAUGAAAAGUGGGUGAGGUUUCCACAGGCACAACUCAUGAAAGUCUUAGGACCCUUUAAGACUGAAGCCCCAAGAGUUUCCCACUCUUAUACUAGUGUACAUUCUGCUUCUAGCAAUUUGACAAAAUAAUCACUUAAGUUUAUCUAACAGCAAUGGUUCCAGCGGCUUCUGUUUCUGAUAGACUGAUCUCGACUAUGAUUUUCUAUAUUCAUCUUCAGAUUUGGAGUGGUAGUUUGAUCUAAGAACGUCAAUCUUCUAAUGGGUCCAAAAAAAGGAAUUGACUUUCAGUUUGUUCAGCAUUUUUUCUUGUUGUAACAUGGAAGUAAUGACUUCCAAGCUCUCUACAUGCCAGAACUGAAACUAGGAAUCCUCAAAACUUAUUUAUGACAAAACUUUUGGAAAAAUAAAGACAGAACGAUUUCCUUAAUUUGAUAAUCAGCACUACAAAAAAAUCUACAAUUUACAUUACACUUAAUAGUGAAAGACUGCGUAUUACCUGAGAUAGAAAUACAAUAAGAAAUAUCUUCCCUCACCACCCUUAUACAACAUAAUUAUAGAAGCAACAGUCAGUGUAAUAACAUAAUAAAAGAAAAUUGAAAGCAUACAUAUCUGAAGGGAAGAAAUAAAACUGUCCCUAUAUGCAGAUUUCACGAUUGUCUACGUAGAUAAACCCAAAGAAUCUAUAAAGAAAAAUUCUUAAAACUAAUAAAUGAGUACAUCAAAGCCACAGGAUACAUGACAGACAUAAAAAAGUUGUAUUUCUAUGGAGUACCUGGGUGGUUCAGUCAGUUAAGUGUCCAAUUUUGGUUCAGGUCAUGAUCUCUCAGUUCACGAGUUUGAGCCUCACAUGGGGAUCUGUGCUAACAGCUCAGAGCCUCAAUCCUGCUACAGAUUCUAUGUCUUCCUCUCUCUCUGCCCCUCCUCCAUUUGCUCUGUUCUCUCUUUCUCUCAAAAAUAAAUAAACAUUUAAAAAAAAGAGUUGUAUUUCAAUAGACUAACAAUAGAGCACACAGAUACUAAAAUCAAAUGUGCAAUACCAUUUACAAUUGCUCAAAAAUAAAAACACCCGACUGUGAAUGUAGUAAACCAUAUACAAGACUUGUAUGCUGACAACAAUACAAUACUGAUGAAAAAAAAUCAAAGAUUUAAAUUAAUGGAGAGAUCUACCAUGUACAUGAAUUAGAAGACUCACUAUAGUAAAAAAUGUCAAGAGAACUAUCUAGAACAAAAGCAAAAGAACUUUCAAGACUCAAUAGUAAGUAAAACAAACAAACAUUCCAAAUAGAAAAUGGGAAAAUACAUGACCAGACUUCACCAAAGAAGAUAUACAGAUGGAAAAUGAACACAUUAAAAUAUGUUUAAUAUCAUUAGUCUUUGGGAAAAUGUAAGGUAAACCACAAUGAUAUAUCACUAGAUGUCUAUCAGAAUAUCUAAAAUAAAAAUAAAGACAACACCAAAUGCUGGCAAGGAUGCAGAAAAAUUGGAUCAUUCAUAUACUGCUAAUGGGAAGGUAAAAUGGUACAGACACUCUGGAAAACCACUUCACAGUUACUCAGAAAACUAAACAUGCAUGACCUUAAACCCAUAAAUUACAUUGCUGAGUUAUGUUCACAUAAAAACCUGUACACAAAUGUUUAUAGCAGCUUUAUUAACAUUUGUAAUAGCCCAAACCUGUAAACACAUGUUUUCAAAUAGUGAAUGAUUACACAAAAUGUAGUUCAUACAUACCAUUGAGUACUAAUCAGCAAUAAAAAAAAAGAAUGAAUUAUUGACAUAUGUACAACCUGGAUUAAUCUCUAGAUAAUUAUGCAGAGUGAAAAAGCCAAACCCAAAGGUACUUUUCCAUUUACAAAUCAUUUUUUCAGUGACAAAAUUAUAGAAAUGGAUACCAGGUCUGUGGUCACCAGGGGAAGGUAUGUGUGAUUAUAAAGGAGAACAAGAGGAAUCCUAGUGGUUAUUGAAAUGUUAUGUAUCUUCCCCAUAUCAAUGUCAAUAUCCUGAUUGUGAUAUUGUGCUAUAGAUUUUUGAAAUGUGAUCAGUGGAGAAAACUGCGUAAAGAUACCCAGGAUUUUUCUGUAGUAUUUCUUACAACUGUAUGUGAAUAUACAAUUAUCUCAAGAUAAAAGAUUUAAUUUAAAAAUUAAUUUAAAAAGAAUUCAGACUGCUGCAUGGAGAAAUGACUGCAGGAUGGGAGGGGGAGACAACAAGAAGGCAGUUCUAUCAGAAGGUAAGUAUAGUAAUUCAGGAAGGAGAUGAUGGCAACAUGACUAUGGGUCAUAACAGAAGAAAUGAAGAGUGCUACAUAGAUUCAAGAUAUAGUUUGUUGUUGAGCCAGCAGACCUGCUGUGUGUAUGGAUACGGAAGGUGACAAAAAAUAAGGAUUAAAGCAUGACCCAGAAUUGCAGAAUGAGAAUCAGUGAGAUGCU
Panthera uncia (snow leopard) is the source of this 3535-nucleotide long non-coding RNA. RefSeq lists it as uncharacterized. The record is from RefSeq and is a predicted model, not a curated record. The transcript is spliced from 3 exons. NCBI's taxonomy places the organism in Eukaryota, Metazoa, Chordata, Mammalia, Carnivora, Felidae.